Molecule: long non-coding RNA, 305 nt
Filed under: Elaeis guineensis (African oil palm)
Lineage: Eukaryota; Viridiplantae; Streptophyta; Magnoliopsida; Arecales; Arecaceae
Description: long non-coding RNA (EGUI_LNC060549)
Source: RNAcentral
GGGCAAUUCAUUAUGAACUACCAUAUGAAUAAGAUUGAUAGUACUUUGUCUGAAUUACUGAACAAGUUGGUAAUAGCUGAGGGCAUCUUAAAAAGUUCAAGAGGAACGGUUAUGACUGUGGAGCGAACUUUCUCUAAGAGAAAGUCUUCCUUAAAGAAAAAAAGAAGCCUGCGAAGAAGUAAAAGAAUGAGGCCAAGCCCAAAAAGUAGGUUCUGAAGAAGACAUACGACAAGAAAAAGUGUUUCCAUUGCAAUGUCAAAGACCACUAAAGAAGGAACUAUCUGGCAUACCUGGCGACUAUGAAG